Molecule: ribosomal RNA, 333 nt
Filed under: uncultured bacterium
Lineage: Bacteria
Description: bacterial SSU rRNA
Rfam family: Bacterial small subunit ribosomal RNA
Source: RNAcentral
AACGAACGCUGGCGGCAUGCCUAACACAUGCAAGUCGAACGAGACCUUCGGGUCUAGUGGCGCACGGGUGCGUAACGCGUGGGAACCUGCCUUUAGGUUCGGAAUAACUCAGAGAAAUUUGAGCUAAUACCGGAUAAUGUCUUCGGACCAAAGAUUUAUCGCCUUUAGAUGGGCCCGCGUUGGAUUAGCUAGUUGGUGGGGUAAAGCCUACCAAGGCGACGAUCCAUAGCUGGUCUGAGAGGAUGAUCAGCCACACUGGGACUGAGACACGGCCCAGACUCCUACGGGAGGCAGCAGUGGGGAAUAUUGGACAAUGGCGAAAGCCUGAUCCAG